This 763-nucleotide long non-coding RNA is filed under the name Callithrix jacchus (white-tufted-ear marmoset). Its description in RNAcentral is "lncRNA (ENSCJAG00000064149.2)". The record is from RNAcentral. Lineage: Eukaryota; Metazoa; Chordata; Mammalia; Primates; Cebidae.
CUGAGUGGGUAUGGGUAAACCUUAACGUAGAGCGCCACUGCCGCCGCAACGUCAGUGCCGCAGGACAUCCCGGAUGUCGACCACUCAUCGGCCUGACACUGCAGCUGCAAGAAUAAUUGCAGAAUAAGAGCCAGCUACUUUAGUGCCCAGGAGGGUGAAGUAUACAAUGAGAUUUAAAGCUGGAACGAAACAUCCAGCAGCUAAACCGCAGUCCGAGUCACAAGGAGCAGUUGUUUCAGCUGCUCUUUCUGAAGUGGUUGAUGCUUUAUUUUUGAGUGUCUGCCGGGUUGUCCUGCCCAGCUAGGAGGCAGUCUUGUCCUGCCGGGGCUCCGCCCUGCCGUAUGAGGUUUACCCUGCUUCUGCGGGCUCCGCCCUGAAGCGGAGUCCCUCUGUUGUACCAGGUUGCCUCGGCAACGGCAGGCUGUGUCAGCAAUGGGCGUGUACCUCAGUAGGGGCUGAUUGCCUCGGUAAUGGCGGACGCCUUUCCUGCACGGAGCUGCACCUUAAGGUAAAUACGUGGGUGAAGUGCCAUGGUGCACUACCGGGCAGACCUCCCCAAAUGGCAAGGGCAGAGCACUGGCUUUCCUGUCACUAUCAGGGAUGUGGUCAACACAAGAAUAUUUUUCCAAAGAAACUCCAGCAAGAAGAGGACCUGUCACAUGGCCAUAGAUUUCCUCCAACUAUCUCCCAUUGCACACACCUAAUUGGAAGUGGAAGUCAAGGCAGCUCCAGGGAUGCCAUGGCAGGCAUCAGAGCAAAGUAG